GAUGAAGAACGCAGCGAAAUGCGAUAAGUAGUGUGAAUUGCAGAAUUCAGUGAAUCAUCGAAUCUUUGAACGCACAUUGCGCCCCUCGGUAUUCCGUGGGGCAUGCCUGUUCGAGCGUCAUUUAACCCCUCAAGCCUAGCUUGGUAUUGGGUGCUUGUCCCGCCUCUCGCGCGGCGACUCACCUCAAAGUCAUUGGCAGCCCGCAUCUCGCCGGUCGUGAGCGCAGCACAGACGCGCUCUUGGCAACGACGGAUCGGCUCUCCAAAAGCUUAUUUCAACCACUGACCUCGGAUCAGGUAGGGAUACCCGCUGAACUUAAGCAUAUCAAUAAGCGGAGGA
This 339-nucleotide unclassified non-coding RNA is filed under the name soil metagenome. Its description in RNAcentral is "partial contains 5.8S ribosomal RNA, internal transcribed spacer 2, and large subunit ribosomal RNA". The stretch from base 1 to 120 matches the Rfam family "5.8S ribosomal RNA", at positions 35 to 154 of the family's 154-position model. The record is from RNAcentral.